UUUCUUUUUUUUUUUUUUAAAAGAUGGGGUCUUACUCUGUCACCCAGGCUGAAGCGCAGUGGCACAAUCUUGGCUCACUGCAACUCUGCAACCUCUUCCUCUGGGGCUCAAGUGAUCCUCCCACCUCAGCUUCUCAAAUAGCUGGGACUACAAGUGUAUACUACCACACCCAGCUAAUUUUUGUAUUUUUUUUUGUAGAGACCAGUUUCACCAUGUUGUCCAGCUGGUCUUGAACUCCUGAGCUCACCUCGGCUUCCCAAAGUGCUGGGAUUACAGGUGUGAGCCACCAUGUCCGGCUGCAAUUAGCUCUUUAGUGCCUCACUCUUAAAACGAAAGACAGACAAAUGUCACCAGAGGAAAGCCUUCAGACUGAAAAAGCCCAAACCAACCAAAACAGUACAAAGAACCUGGAGCAAAUAGAGAUAAAGCAGGGAAUAAAUGAAAACGCUUAAACCAAUCUCUAUAAUUUUUAGACAUUUAAGGUGUUAUUGCAUCCAUCCACUAACAAGAACAAGAUGUUAUAUAAAAAGAAGAAAGAAAGGCUGAAAAAGAGAAGAUUCAACAGAGUGGCUGGAAUACACAUUGAGGAACUCUUCCAGAGAAAAAAUGUUCAAAAGAUGGCGAUUGACGGAGGAAAAAACAGCAAAGCACAUAGAAAGGAUGAAUCUAGAGGUUCAAGUAUCUGACCACUAAAAGCAUUCCAGAAAAGAAGCAGAACAUAGUGGUGGUAAAAUCAUCAAAGAAACAAAAUGUUAAGAAUUCCCAGAAAUAGAAGACAGGAGUUUUAAGCCUGAAAGUAUCUAUCAAAUAUUUAGCACACAUGCCGAGGCAUACUAUAAAAUUUCAUAAAAAGAAAAAAGAGACAAUCCAAGGAGAGAGAGAGACAGAGAGAGAGAGAGAGAGAGAAUGAGCAUGAAUAUGAGGACCAAACUAGCCAUCAAGUUAGAGUAGAAUACUGAGCUUUUCAGACCUUCAAUGACUCAGAAAAAAUUUCCCUCCCAUGUGCCUUUCAUGAGGAGGCAACUUAAGAACAUCUUGAAGUAAAAUGAGUUAUUAAAUCAAGAAAUAGCAUCCCUGAGAUUAAGAAAACCAGAACCCAACAGAGAAAUAUAGUAAAGGGAAGCUGCAGUAAAGCUGUGUUUGGAGUAAUGAGCCCAGAUAUACUAGGAGCAGGAGCUUUCUCGGUGGAAAGAGGAGAGGGCCUCUGGGGGAAGGGAGGGCAGGUUGGGAUGGAGCUUAAAGAGCUCUAGGUGGAAAGAGGAGAGGGCCUCUGGGGGAAGGGAGGGCAGGUUGGGAUGCAGCUUAAAGAGCUCUGAGUGGAAAGAGGGGAGGGCCUCUGGGGGAAGGGAGGGCAGGUUGGGAUGGAACUGACAUAAUUAUCUGGUAAUUAAUAUUUAAAUAAUACCAAAAGUAAUACUGAAUGCAGCAGAUCUAAUGGCACAUACGAAAAUUUUGUAACAUAUGAAAUUUUUGAUAGGUACAAAUAAAUCUAGGCAAACAAAUGAAGGCAAUAAAUAAUUCUAGGAAAAACAAUUAAGUUGUGCAAGAAAUGAAACAAAAUCAUGAUGUACUGCUCAGAUCAGCAGCCAACAGAAUGUAUAAAGUCACAGCAACGUCAGCAGGACCAUGCAUCUCAAAUGUGGGUAUGACCAUCUUAGGAAGAUGGAGAGGAGCAAGGAAGUAGAAGUAAAGGUAAUGGAAUAAGAGAAUGAGAUCAAGACCCCAGUAAAUCAAGAAACAGCAGCCUGUGCAUACUAGUUACAGAUAGCGCGGUGACUAUCCAAAGAAACAUCUAGCUGCGCUGAAAGUGACUGGCUCUGCAACAUCAGACUUCAUCUUUGGGAGGGCUGGAAUAGGAAACUGUUGCUUUUCAUUAUACAUCUUAUAGGACUAUUUGAUUUUUAAUUAUAUACAUGCAUUACUUAAUAGAUAUAGCAAAAAAUGCAGGGAGGUAAAAUCCUAGGAACACGUUUUGAAAAACAGUUCUGGUAGAGUCUCGCUAUGACAAUGCAGCAGAAGCAUCUAGAAGCGUAUGGUAUGGUAAAGACAAGGUGCGGGGUGAGACCUUCAAGUCAAGCGAAACUACCCCACCUGACAAACAAUCCUCUCUUCUUCUCAUCAGUGGGGGAUUAUGCUGGAUUUUUCUAUGCGUUUGUAGGUAAUGAAAUGAAUGUGCUUACUAGAACCCACAAGAAACCACACAUAAAAAUCCCCAGCAAUGUUAUAUGCACAGGUAUAUUUCUAGCUUUUUGCUGUAUUCUUUCACAAUUCUGUGCCAUUUGCAAGAUGUGAAAAGCUAGGACAUUAUGUAUCAAUAAAAAUGUCUGAGACAUGCAAAAUAGACCAAGAAAUAUUUUUAUUUGAAAAAGAUUUAGCCAGACAAGAAUAGAAGCUUCCAUUAUAAAAUGUUGAGUCAUGCAAAAUGGGUAAGGAUUGUACUUCGCCCCGGCAGGGGGUAUAUUUUAUAAGCAAAGAAUGUCAGAGAGCUAAGGCCACAAGCCAAGGGCCCGAAGACAGUUUUGAAAUCCUUUGUCUAGUGCUCUUUCCACAUCACCACAUUAAUCCCCGGGGUGGACAGGGACCUUGACAAUUUAAGCAUAAAAGAACAAAAAGACCACAAGGUCAUUUUUAUAAAGAUCAACCAUCAACCCCUGGGGUCAGGUCUCCAAUCUUUGCUCAAGCUUUAGAAGGCUUUCAGCUUUGUGGAGUUAUCAGGAAAGUCCAAAAAUUGAAAUUUGUGGUGACUAAUUCCACCCCCUACAAAUACUCAAUGCAGAGCAUAUUACUGUCAGCUCAGCUAAAAACUGCUCAAAGUAGAAGUGAUUAAAUUCUAAAGUAGAAAAAAAUUCACCUCUAAACACAGAAACACACUGGUACUUCCCCCGCACACCCAGAUAUUAUUAGCCAGCUUUUUGCCUGGGGAAAUGAAUCAUGAGAGAGAAAACCGUACAACCCCCAAGUCCGACCACACUGAGUAACUGGGGUAGACACAGAGGGGGGCAUCUGGGGCUCUCCCGAGGCCAAGGUUGGGACCCAGAAGAGAUGAAUUUCCCUGGGUGCACAGGGUGGGAGGGAGGUGGGGCUAGAAGAACUUGUUCUGGAGGGAUGAUCCCGAUGGCUCCCAGUGCAGAAGGCCAGGAAGAGCAGAGGAUGGUGCCAGGAGGACGGUGUUGGGACACAGGCAGCUCAGGCCUGGAUCAGGCAGUGACUGGUAACAGAAGGAGAGUCCAUGCUGGUGGGCUCCGGGGAACAUAGGUGGUAAGGCAGGGCAGUACUUGGCGUCUGGGGAUGUAGUGUGCGACCUCCUGUAUUCGGUGUGAGGCACAGGGAGCCAGCAGGAGCUGGCGUCAGCCCGGGUCUAAAGGGUGGUGGGAUCUUAGCGGGGAAGACUGGGAAGACAGCAAGGAGGAAGAGCUGAGGCUGGAGGAGGAUGGGGGCCUGGAAGGAUCCCUGCCACGCUGUUAGGAAGCCAGGGUGCUUGGGUGCUGGUGAGGAUGGGAAGAGGGCAGGGGAACGGGGGGAGGGUGACGCAGGCCCUCCGGCAGCAGCGGCUUGGCCACUGGCACUGAGAUUGGUAUGAGUGACUCAGUGCCAGGUUGCGCCACAGAGAGCUGAGGCUGCGGAUCCUUCUCCUGCCUCUGGUGGGACCGUCUUAAAGGCAGGGUGAGUGAGCCUGGCUCCAAGAGGCUGGGCCCACAGGCAGGGGCUGACAUGGGCUGGCCCAAGCCCCAGCUCUCCUCACUCUGGGUGCUUCUACGCUUUCUCACCUCCACGCUUCCAAUCAUGUUAUUUUCUUCUGAUUAAAAUGCCUCCUUCCACGUCCACUUGGCAAACUCCUAUGCACCCUUUAAAGCCCGGCACAAAUGUCUCCACAAGGUUAUGUGCCUCAGCCCUGUUAGUGACCGCUUUCCAGUCAGACAUGAUUUUCAUCUUUCUACUGCCCUUCCCCAGGAAAGGGACAUCACAGACACUCAGAUAUUUAUUUGCUGGAGGUGUUUGUUGAAUUUUUCUGGCAGUUUCAGAUUAUACCUAUUUAAAUAUUAGUUUUCAGAGAAGAGAAAUAUUUUUGCAAAGUUAUUCCUAGAAAAUCAAUGUCUGUAAAGGAAGUUCUAUUUUCCUGUCAAUCUUUCAUAAUAAAAUUGGAAAUGCUUUCUCCUGGAGGAGAGAUGAUCCCAAGACAAGAACAAAUCGGUAAGCAAGAGUAAAACAUGUUUAAAGAUUAUAUAAUUUAAAGUAAUUAUCUUUUCCAAUAAAACAAAUAGUAAUAGUUGAAAUAGGCCAAACGCACAUACAUUAUGCUGCAAUUUAAGCUUUCAUAAAGUAAAUUAAACAAGCCUAGAGGCCGAAUUCUUGUGAAUUGGUGAUGUUUCUGUAAACUGAAUGACGUUAUCAGCCUAUGGUUAUAGAGUUCCCCUCAGAAAAAUGUUCACUAAAAAAAAAUCACAAGUGUUUAGAAGUUAAUUUAAAGGGGUUUACACUAUGUGUUCAUUUUUAAUGAACUAUUUGCCCAAUAGCUACAGUUGAAACAGUUAUAUGCCUUCAGCUUAGACUCUUUUUUUUUUUUUUUUUUUUUUUGAGAUGCAGUCUUGCUCUGUCACCUAGGCUGAAGUGCAGUGGCUUGAUCUCAGCUCACUGCAAUCUCCACCUUCCGGGUUCAAGCAAUUCUCCUGCCUCAGCCUCCUGAGUAGAUGCGAUUACAGGCAUGCCUGGCUAAUUUUUGUAUUUUUAGUAGAGAUGGGGUUUCACCAUGUUGGCCAGCCUGGUCUUGAACUCCUGACCUUGUGAUCCCCCUGCCUUGGUUUAACAAAGUGUUGAGAUUACAGGCGUGAGCCAGCAUGCCUGGCCUAGCUUAGAUUUUUAGACACUAUCUUAGAGACCUUGCACUACUAUUCCCUAUGUCCCCGCAACCCCCACCGGAAAGACAUCAGGUGUUACCAAACAGAUCUAUUCUCAAAAUUAUUUUUUUCUGUGUGUAUUGCCUCGUACUGGCUUAAGAUAACACACUGGCUUGAGAUAACACAUCUUGUGUGUGUGUUAAGAUAACACACACACAAGAUCCAGUGCUGACAUUAUUAGGAUCUGAGCCUGGGACAUGGCUGGUGAAAAAAAAAUCUUUAUAGAGAAUAUCGAUGGUAAAUGAACCAAUAGCAAAUUGGAGUCCUGUUUUCAUCAAUGAUAACUGAGUUUUUAAAAACAACUUAAUUGCCUUCUAAAAAUACCUAAUCUGAAUUCCUCCUAACCAUCAUUGUAUAUUUGGGAGGUUCCAGAAUAUUUUUGAGUUUUGCUAUAGCACAGAGGCAAUAGAAGUGGAAAAUAAAAAUGGAAAUUAAAAAUGAAACAGAAUUUGUUUAAUUCAGGCUUUCUAAAAUGUUAGUUUUUAAUUAAAAAUGAGAGAAUUUGUUUAAUUCAGGCUUUCUAAAAUGAUAGUUUUUAAAACUAAAGCCAGAGUUAGUGGUGUAUCUAUAUAAUAUAUACAUUAUAUAUUAUAUAAUGUAUAUAUAUCAUAUAUUAUAAUGUAUACAAGAUAAUGUAUAUAUUUUAUAUAUAAUAUAUAAUGUACAAUAUAUACAUUAUGUAUUACAUAUAACUUAUAUAUAUAAUUUAGAUAUACAUAUAUAUAUUUUUAACUCACAUAAACUUAUUUGAUUGCAAAACUCCACCCUCUUCCCCUAGUCGCCACUGGCUUUCAUAAAGUGCAGUUUGAACUACUGCAAUCAAUCGGACUUGGAAUCCUUUUCAUAUCCAAAAAUCUCAUUUUUAGGCCUCAAAUUGGACAUAAUUGUACAUCUGUGUUCAAGCGUUAUGUAAACUCCUGUCUGCAGAGCAAAGUCUAUUAGGGAACCUAGUGCACUUUCUUGAGAAAAUGGAGAGACAUCGCCACCUGCUGGACAAAGGUUAUUAAUUCAUUAAUUUAGUGUUCUGAAGUACGUAAUUCUGCACAUGGAAAACAGUUUUUCAAGAGCUGAAUCUUAGGAAUCUUACUUUAAAAACUCUACUAUCAUUCUAUAUCUAUUAAAUAACAUGGUAUAUAACAGUCAUCAAAAUUCAAUAUGCAGCAUAAGUUAAGGGUAAUUGGCCCCAAUAACGUCUCAACAGUGGGUUUCAUUUAGUGAAAAGUCUUAGCUCCCUGAUAUUUCUGGUAAGAGUUCAGUUAUAAAAACAGACGACUUUUUAAAAAACGUCAUUAACUUGGAUUAUGUGUGUCUUUCAGCCCCUUAGCAUGUCGCUGUAGUAAUAUUUCCACCUAACUUAUUCCCUGCGAUUCCAGAAACUAUGUCCCUGUUUCUGGAACAGGCUAUUGACUAGAAUAUAAUUGUUCAUUCCUCUCUGCCCAAGUCAGUAAUACAGAAAUAUUAUUUCUUAAAGGCACGAGAUUUCCUUGUAAUGUAUCAGCUGUAACUGGUGAAACAGGUCAAGGAUAAUCAUUUCCUUCAUUUGUUCCUUCCAAUUUUUUCCUCUUUCUUUCAUCUAGAAGUUACAAAGAGAACCUCAAGUCCAGUUUCUCUCAGGGACAGCCCUGUCUCUCCUGUGAUGGGCUUGGUGAGCAGGCUAAUUACUGAACAUUUAUCAUAUAGUAAGUCUGGGCUAAGGACUCUGCAUGGAUUGAUCAGGCAAGACUCACAAGAACCUAUGAGGUAGAUAAGAUUAUUUAUGCAUCUUAUCCAGAUGGGGAAACUGAGGCUCCGAGGGGCUAUACCUUGCCUCUGGUUAUGCAGUUAAGUGGAGGAGAGGGUCUAGCAUGCGGGCUGUCUAUCUCAGAGCCUGUGCUCUAAUCAUUAUGACACACUGGGCUGGGCGUGGUGGAUCACACCAGUAAUCCCAGCAUUUUGGGAGGCCGAGGCAGGUGGCUCACCUGAGGUCAGGAGUUCAAGACCAGCCUGACCAACGUGGUGAAAUCCCGUUUAUACCAAAAAUACAAAAAUUAGCUGGGCAUGGUAGUGGGAGCCUGUAAUCCCAGCUACUUGGGAAGCUGAGGCAGGAGAAUGGCCUGAACGCAGGAGGCAGAGGUUGCAGUGAGCCAAGAUUGUGCCAUUGCACUCCAGCCUGGACAACAAAAGUGAAACUUACUCUCCAAAAAAAAAAAAAAAAAAAAAAAGAUGGGAUAACUCAGUGGCAGAGCAUUUGACUGCAUUAUGACAUACUGUCUUCUCCACAGGUGUGUGUGUGUGUGUGUGUGGUAUGAAGAGAGAGGGAUGGAAAUCAUGGCCAUAGAGUUUGAGUUGGGACCCCGGUCUUGAUCACCUGAGCAUCAGCAGCUCCAGGGAAGAACACAUUCUGAAGGAGGAACUCUCCAGCUAGGAUUUCGUCCUGUCCGAGAGGACACCAAGAGGUGGAGACCACCCCCACAACUAAACUUGAGGAUUACCAAGGCAAUGGGGACUGUCUAGGAAUAUUUUUGAGGCGGUAAAAGCACCCCAUGAUUGUGCUAAGUAACAAAAGACAGAACAAGCAGCCUUAAAACGUUCUACAUGAUACACUGGUAUUAGAAUAAUAAGAUCUUAAAGACCAUCCACUUGAAAACUGUGUUUGCUCUGGGUCAUAUGGGCAGAACCAUGGCAGACAAAGAACUAGAAGUUCCUCCUAACUCCCAACUCAAUGUCCUUUCCUUAAAGAAUAACUGUUCUUUAUUAUAAAUAGGCCAAGCUUUUAUUAUUUAGUAUUGAACUCAGGCUGAGAUUUUUAUUGAUGGAUAAAAAUUUGAAUUAUUUCUGUGCCAUACUAUUUAAAAGUUUUCUUCUACAUAUUUGUUAUCAUUUUCUAGCAAAUAUCCUCAAAAUUGAAAACUGCAACGUCAGUGAAAUCAGUGAGCACACCACUAUCCUUCUAAUGGGAGGUCUAAUUUAUCAUUCAUGCAUAGUAAAAAAAAAAAGCAUAAUAUUUAAAUGUGUACUCUGUGAUUGUUUAUAAAACUAUUUAAGUAUAAAUAUUUCAAACAAAGCACUCAGCUUAUAAGUGAACUUAAAUCCUCAAAGUUAGGAUUUAAGUCACUUGUUUGGAAUUCGUUACAUAUUUUUCCUUUGUAAUAGUUGGUGACCAUAUUCUCAAGGCAACCCACAAAAGUCUAGUAAAUUCCCUACUGUGGCUCCAGUGUUUACAUUUGUAAUGGAAAUGUGUUGAAAAUGAAUACUAAUGUAGUGCUAGUCAUGGAAAGUAUUUAAAACACAAGGUAAAAGGAUUGGACACAUGAGUUUUCAAGUCACUAGGAAGGGAGAAGGUAAUGGGUUAAUAUUAGACCAUAGAGUUCUAUGUCUGGAUGCUAGGUGGCGCUAUUGAACCAGAACAGCUCAGUUAUUUGCCAAGUCAAGGGUUUACAGAGGGAUGCUCAUAUGACUGUUCCUAUUACACAUAUUCACAUGUUCCUUGUCUUUCAUGUGCUUAUUUAUUUUGGCCCUUACCACCACUGAGAUUUUAGCUCCUAAAAAUUAUGACUAGAAAAAUAUUGAUGGCUCACAGCAUGUCUUUAAGAGUUGAGGAGAAAAAGUAUUCAGAAAUAUAUUAAUAUUCACCACUCAGAAAUAUGUGAGCCUUGCCCCUUACUUACACAUUUUUGUGGAUGACUAUGGAUCAUUCUCUCAACUUCUCUAGGCUGGCUUCAGUUUCUCAUUUUUAUUUUUAUUUUAUUUUAGAAACAAGGUCUUGCUCUGUCACCUAGGCUAGAGUGCAAUGGGUGUGAUCAUCAUAGCUCACUGCAGCCUCAACCUCCCCAAGGCUCAGGUGAUCCUCCCACUUCAGCCUGCCCAGUAGCUGGGACCACAGGUACAUGCCAUCAUGCCUGUUUUUUUUUUUUUUCUUUUUAGAUGGAGUCUCACACUGUCACCUAGGCUGGAGUGCAGUGGUGCGAUCUCCGCUCACUGCAACCCCCGCCUCCCAGGUUCAAGCAAUUCUCCUGUCUCAGCCUCCCGAGUAGCUGGGAUUACAGGCACCUGCCACCAUGCCCAGUUUAUUUUUAGUAUUUUUAGUAGAGAUGGGGUUUCACUAUGUUGGCCAGGCUGGUCUUGAACUCCUGACCUCGUGAUCCACUCACCUUGGCCUCCCAAAGUGCUGGGAUUACAGGUGUGAGCCACCGCGCCUGUCCUUUUUUUUUUUUGUAUUUUUAGUAGAGAUGAGCUUUUGCUAUGUUGCUCAGGCUAGUCUCAAACUCCUAGCCUCAAGUGAUCUGUCUGCCUUGGCCUCCCAAAAUGGUAGGAUUACAGGUGCAAGUCACUAUACCCAGCCUCAGUUUCUCAUUUUUAAAAGGUGAUAAGUAAUAAACAAACAUAAUAGAGAUUAAUAAAAAAUAAUUAUGUACAAGAUGACAUAUGUGAUCAUAUGUAAUAAUUAUGUAUAUGUUCAAACAGUGAGGUUGCUCCUACCCAGUAAAGCCUGCUGGGGCCUUGGUGCUCCCUAAUUCAAACUCAUGGUCAGGAUUGAGCAGUGUUUUCUGAAUGCCCACUCCACAGUACUUGUCCCAAUAUUAGCAGCUGUGCACCGGCUCAUUAAAAUAAACAGUAAAAAUAAAAUAAAAUAAAAACACAUAUAUUUAUUUCACACACUGGCUCUGAGGGUCAGAAAUUCAGGGGUAGCUUAGUUGGAUGGUCCUGGUUUGGGAUCUCUCAUGAGGCAGCCAUUAACAUGUUGGUUGGGGCUGCAGUUACCUGAAGGCUUGACUGGGGCCAUAGUAUCUGCUCCCAAGAUGGCUCACACACGUGGCUUUUGGUCUGAGGUCUGAGUUCCUCACUAUGUGAACCUCUCUUCAUCCAUAGCAGCUGAUCUCUCUCAGAGCAAAUGACGGAGCAGACAGUAACAAAGUUGGAAACCAUAAUAUCUUUUAUGGAGAGUGUUCAUCUUAUGUGUCACCAGGAUUUAGUUAACCCUUUAUCUCAGACUGUAUAUUAGACACACACACCACACAUGCACACACACACACCAUACAACAAGAUAAAGCCAAAAGGAGAAAAUGAUUAACAUAAACCUUUCUUCUUCAAAGGAGUCUAAUUAAGGAUAAGACCUCUCCUUGCACAAAGAAUGGAGUUUAUGUUGUCUUCUAGAAAUAAAAAUCAGUCACAUCAAACUCUUUACAUUAAAAUUCUAUAAACUCUUUAAAUGGCUUGUUGUUGAAAAGGCAAAGGAAAUCCUAGUUUCACAACCCCACUAUUUAAGGUUUAUUAUGCUUCUAGCUGUCAACCCACAUCUCCUGCUGAGUAGACACAUCUGCAGGGCAUGCCUGGAGCUUUCGGUCAUGUUCCUACAUACAGGCUGGAGUGCAAUGGUGUGAUCUUGGCUCACUGCAACCUCCACCUCCCAGGUUCAAGCGAUUCUCCUGCCUCAGCCUCCCGAGUAGCUGGAAUUACAGGCUCCUACCAACACACCUGGCUAAUUGUUGUAUUUUUAGUAGAGACAGGGUUUCUCCAUGUUGGCCAGGCUGGUCUCGAACUCCUGAUGUCAGGUGAUCCACCUGCCUCGGCCUCACUAAGUGCUGGGAUUACAGGCAUGAGCCACCGCACUGGGCCUAUCUGCUGCUUGUUUCUACAGGGCAGAAUGCCUUCUUCCAUUUCAAGACAACAAAACAGAACAAUAAACAGAUCACUGAACGUGUAUUAUCAAGGCUUGUUGUCACAGCAGUAGAUUAAGGAGAAUAGGAAAAAACAAACAACAUUGUUUGUCUUUCUCUUUGGAUAAAAUGACAACGAAAAAAUAAAUGAUGGAUUUCUGAAAGUAAUUAUGCUUACGAUGAUACCACAGGAAGCCCUUGUAAUUGCUUUGCCACAUUGUAUUUCUUGCUGCUAUUUGGGGACCACUCGGUUUGUUAGGAUAAAAUCAUAAUUGUAUUUUCAAUUUGCUGCUCUAUCUAUUCCAUUGUCAGGAUUUGAUACACUAGAGUGCUUUUAUCAAAUGGAAGUUGGGCCAGAGAGAAUUCAUCACCAGGAUGGCUCUUUCAUACUCACGCAUGUUUCCAUCAAUGGAGUCCAGGUGCGCACACACGGAUUCAUUUGUACCCACCCCAACAACAUGCUCAAGACAAGGCUGAUGGAAAAUGUUGCCAAUUUCAGUUUCCAGCAACAUGGUCAAGACAAGGCUUAUGGAGAAUGUUGCCAAUUUCAGUUUCCACAGGGAGAAAUGGAGCCAUUAAGCCUUUGGAACAUGGUGAUUUUAUGUCUGAACAUGAAGCUCAAGAUUUUGGCAUCUGCAGCUCCUGGUUCUAGCUUUCCUUCGCAAGCCCAGGGAACUAACUGCCCUUUGUCAUCAGAAGAGAUCAUUUCACUCCUUUAUUUCCUGAGCCCUUUUCAAGGUGAGUAGCCCCGGACACAGACCUCUCAUGGAGAAGAGUUUGCUUACAAAUGAAGUUACCUGGGUCUUUGUAGAUACUGAGCACGCCCUUGAAGUAAUGAGGUAAAAAUCUUUCCAGUAACAGCAGCACAUCUUCCAACUCUUCAAGAAUCCCCACGAGCAGGAAGUUUUCAUUCACGUUCAGCUUUGCUCUCUCAAGGGCCCAUUCACCAGGCUCCCUUUAUGGAUAUAAAAAUUUAUUUCAAAUCAGAGAUUCAUAUUUGAAAUGCAGCAACAAGAUGCUGAGAGUUUACCCCCUCUACCUCCCACCUUCACUUGCAUAAGUCCAAAUCCUGUUUCCCUCAAGGACCAGCCCAGAUGUAGCCCCAUCCAGAGCCUUCCCAAUCCUUCCAGCUGGUGUCCUGCCCUGCUCACCGUUCCUUCUCUGUCACUUUCAUCCAUGCUUCACGCCAAGCCCAGGGCCUUGAAUUCACAGGCCCUGCCUAAGUAUUGUAGACGAAUGAAUGCAGGCACAAGCAGUUAGGUUCUAACAAAUACUAAUCAAGCGGUGAAUAGAAUGGUUUUUUAAUAGGCGGACCAAACUGAACCAAUUAAAUAAAUUUAGGAGUUUUGAAAUACGAAACUUACUGACAUAGCAUUUAUGUAGAACUCAAAAGAGGUGUCAGGUCAUGCCUGUUAAUCAUCUUAUUCUUUGGAAGAGUUAAAGAGGAAUCUUUGGAUUUUUGUUUAAUUUUGUUUGUCUAGAUUGCAGAAGGAAAACAGCCUAAUCUGAUUUGUAGACCAGCUCUCUGAACUGACACUAAGGCGAGUGAGAAAAGCCCAGGAGUGGGGCUCCAGGCCUGGCUGUCAUUAUCAUUUGGGGGAAUUGGGCAAGCCAGGGUUCUCUUUUGAAAAUUGGUAACAAUAACCCUUACCUAGUUCAAAGCACUGUUGUAAAGACUGUGCAAGGUGAUAUGAUGAAAGACUUAUAAAAAUCAUUGUGUGUGUAUCAA
Symphalangus syndactylus (siamang) is the source of this 12260-nucleotide RNA transcript. RefSeq lists it as uncharacterized. NCBI's taxonomy places the organism in Eukaryota, Metazoa, Chordata, Mammalia, Primates, Hylobatidae. The record is from RefSeq and is a predicted model, not a curated record.